Molecule: ribosomal RNA, 460 nt
Filed under: uncultured bacterium
Lineage: Bacteria
Description: partial 16S ribosomal RNA
Rfam family: Bacterial small subunit ribosomal RNA
Source: RNAcentral
CCUACGGGAGGCAGCAGUGAGGAAUAUUGGUCAAUGGACGCAAGUCUGAACCAGCCAUGCCGCGUGCAGGAAGACGGCUCUAUGAGUUGUAAACUGCUUUUGUACGAGGGUAAACGCAGAUACGCGUAUCUGUCUGAAAGUAUCGUACGAAUAAGGAUCGGCUAACUCCGUGCCAGCAGCCGCGGUAAUACGGAGGAUUCAAGCGUUAUCCGGAUUUAUUGGGUUUAAAGGGUGCGUAGGCGGUCGGAUAAGUUAGAGGUGAAAUCCCGAGGCUCAACUUCGGAAUUGCCUCUGAUACUGUUCGGCUAGAGAGUAGGUGCGGUAGGCGGAAUGUAUGGUGUAGCGGGGAAAUGCUUAGAGAUCAUACAGAACACCGAUUGCGAAGGCAGCUUACCAAGCUACUUCUGACGUUGAGGCACGAAAGCGUGGGGAGCAAACAGGAUUAGAUACCCGGGUAGUC